AACGUAGGAAGCGAGCGUUAUCCGGAGUUACUGGGCGUAAAGCGCGCGCAGGCGGCUCUUUAAGUAGUGCCUGAAAGCGCCCGGCUAAACCGGGCGAGGCGGCAGUAGACUGGAGAGCUAGAGGGCAGUAGAGGGGUGUGGAAUUCCGGGUGUAGCGGUGAAAUGUGCAGAGAUCCGGAGGAACACCAGAGGUGAAAACGGCGCCCUGGGGUGCACCUGACGCUGAGGCGCGAAAGCUUGGGGAGCAAACGGG
This 253-nucleotide ribosomal RNA is filed under the name uncultured bacterium. RNAcentral's name for it is "partial 16S ribosomal RNA". It matches the Rfam family "Bacterial small subunit ribosomal RNA", at positions 524 to 776 of the family's 1533-position model. The record is from RNAcentral.